Molecule: ribosomal RNA, 1145 nt
Filed under: Escherichia coli
Lineage: Bacteria; Pseudomonadati; Pseudomonadota; Gammaproteobacteria; Enterobacterales; Enterobacteriaceae
Also listed under: 1 other name
Description: partial 16S ribosomal RNA
Rfam family: Bacterial small subunit ribosomal RNA
Source: RNAcentral
UUUAUGGAGAGUUUGAUCCUGGCUCAGGAUGAACGCUGGCGGCGUGCCUAAUACAUGCAAGUCGAGCGAACGGACGAGAAGCUUGCUUCUCUGAUGUUAGCGGCGGACGGGUGAGUAACACGUGGAUAACCUACCUAUAAGACUGGGAUAACUUCGGGAAACCGGAGCUAAUACCGGAUAAUAUUUUGAACCGCAUGGUUCAAAAGUGAAAGACGGUCUUGCUGUCACUUAUAGAUGGAUCCGCGCUGCAUUAGCUAGUUGGUAAGGUAACGGCUUACCAAGGCAACGAUGCAUAGCCGACCUGAGAGGGUGAUCGGCCACACUGGAACUGAGACACGGUCCAGACUCCUACGGGAGGCAGCAGUAGGGAAUCUUCCGCAAUGGGCGAAAGCCUGACGGAGCAACGCCGCGUGAGUGAUGAAGGUCUUCGGAUCGUAAAACUCUGUUAUUAGGGAAGAACAUAUGUGUAAGUAACUGUGCACAUCUUGACGGUACCUAAUCAGAAAGCCACGGCUAACUACGUGCCAGCAGCCGCGGUAAUACGUAGGUGGCAAGCGUUAUCCGGAAUUAUUGGGCGUAAAGCGCGCGUAGGCGGUUUUUUAAGUCUGAUGUGAAAGCCCACGGCUCAACCGUGGAGGGUCAUUGGAAACUGGAAAACUUGAGUGCAGAAGAGGAAAGUGGAAUUCCAUGUGUAGCGGUGAAAUGCGCAGAGAUAUGGAGGAACACCAGUGGCGAAGGCGACUUUCUGGUCUGUAACUGACGCUGAUGUGCGAAAGCGUGGGGAUCAAACAGGAUUAGAUACCCUGGUAGUCCACGCCGUAAACGAUGAGUGCUAAGUGUUAGGGGGUUUCCGCCCCUUAGUGCUGCAGCUAACGCAUUAAGCACUCCGCCUGGGGAGUACGACCGCAAGGUUGAAACUCAAAGGAAUUGACGGGGACCCGCACAAGCGGUGGAGCAUGUGGUUUAAUUCGAAGCAACGCGAAGAACCUUACCAAAUCUUGACAUCCUUUGACAACUCUAGAGAUAGAGCCUUCCCCUUCGGGGGACAAAGUGACAGGUGGUGCAUGGUUGUCGUCAGCUCGUGUCGUGAGAUGUUGGGUUAAGUCCCGCAACGAGCGCAACCCUUAAGCUUAGUUGCCAUCAUU